This 103-nucleotide transfer RNA is filed under the name Yokenella regensburgei. RNAcentral describes it as "tRNA-Gly(acc)". The record is from RNAcentral. Lineage: Bacteria; Pseudomonadati; Pseudomonadota; Gammaproteobacteria; Enterobacterales; Enterobacteriaceae.
UUUUUCUGCUGCGCGGCGAGGCGCUGCGCGAGCUCUGCCACCGUCAGAGCGGCGUCGAGCCGCACCGCCAUCGGCAGCACGUUCAGCACCGGGCCGGUGGAGG